UAUUUUCCCAUUACGGGGAAAAGAAACCAACAGGGAUUGCCCUAGUAACGGCGAGUGAAGCGGCAACAGCUCAAAUUUGAAAGCUAGCCUUCGGGUUCGCAUUGUAAUUUGUAGAGGAUGAUUUGGGGAAGCCGCCUGUCUAAGUUCCUUGGAACAGGACGUCAUAGAGGGUGAGAAUCCCGUAUGUGACAGGAAAUGGCACCCUAUGUAAAUCUCCUUCGACGAGUCGAGUUGUUUGGGAAUGCAGCUCUAAAUGGGAGGUAAAUUUCUUCUAAAGCUAAAUAUUGGCGAGAGACCGAUAGCGCACAAGUAGAGUGAUCGAAAGAUGAAAAGCACUUUGGAAAGAGAGUUAAAAAGCACGUGAAAUUGUUGAAAGGGAAGCGCUUGCAAUCAGACUUGUUUAAACUGUUCGGCCGGUCUUCUGACCGGUUUACUCAGUUUGGACAGGCCAGCAUCAGUUUCGGCGGCCGGAUAAAGGCUCUGGGAAUGUGGCCUCCACUUCGGUGGAGGUGUUAUAGCCCAGGGUGUAAUACGGCCAGCCGGGACUGAGGUCCGCGCUUCGGCUAGGAUGCUGGCGUAAUGGUUGUAAGCGACCCGUUUAAAAACCCGGGACC
Molecule: ribosomal RNA, 614 nt
Filed under: Aureobasidium pullulans
Lineage: Eukaryota; Fungi; Ascomycota; Dothideomycetes; Dothideales; Saccotheciaceae
Description: partial large subunit ribosomal RNA
Rfam family: Eukaryotic large subunit ribosomal RNA
Source: RNAcentral